RNAcentral lists this ribosomal RNA (373 nucleotides) under uncultured bacterium. Its description in RNAcentral is "bacterial SSU rRNA". It matches the Rfam family "Bacterial small subunit ribosomal RNA", at positions 523 to 898 of the family's 1533-position model. The record is from RNAcentral.
AUACGGAGGGUGCAAGCGUUAUCCGGAAUCAUUGGGUUUAAAGGGUCCGUAGGCGGAUGUAUAAGUCAGGGGUGAAAGUUUGCCGCUUAACGGUAAAAUUGCCUUUGAUACUGUAUGUCUUGAAUACGUGUGAAGUGGUUAGAAUGUGUAGUGUAGCGGUGAAAUGCAUAGAUAUUACACAGAAUACCGAUUGCGAAGGCAGAUCACUAACACGUCAUUGACGCUGAUGGACGAAAGCGUGGGGAGCGAACAGGAUUAGAUACCCUGGUAGUCCACGCCGUAAACGAUGGAUACUAGCUGUUCGGCUUUCGGGCUGAGCGGCUAAGCGAAAGUGAUAAGUAUCCCACCUGGGGAGUACGUUCGCAAGAAUGAA